UAAUUAUGUACACCUGAUAUAGGGUGUUGAUGUCAUUAGACCACACCCCUUCUCAUUACAGAAAUGCACAUCACCUAAUAUGCUUAAUUGGUAGUAGGCUUUCGAGCCUAUACAGCUUGGAGUAAGACAACAUGCAUAAAGAGGAUGAUGUGGUCAAAAUACUCAUUUGCCUAAUAAUUCUGCACUCCCUGUAUAGUUGGAAUUUUCAUAGAUGGUCAUAUGUCUGAUUUUGUGGCAUUAUAGCCAUUUGACUGUUCAAAUAAUCACACAAGGGCCUUCCAUUUGAGAAAGCAGACACCCCAGUGUAUCUUAUUAGGCAUAUAUUGUAC
This is a non-coding RNA of Pelobates cultripes (western spadefoot toad), 329 nucleotides long. The record is from the annotation of a GenBank genome assembly. NCBI's taxonomy places the organism in Eukaryota, Metazoa, Chordata, Amphibia, Anura, Pelobatidae.